CAACUCUGUACCAGACUGGAACCAAGGUAAGGGACACAGCUCUGUACCAGACUGGAACCAAGGUAAGGGACACAACUCUGUACUACACUGGAACCAAGGUAAGGGACACAACUCUGUACCAAACUGGAACCAAGGUAAGGGACACAACUCUGUACCAGACUGGCAGCUAGG
This 171-nucleotide long non-coding RNA is filed under the name Haliotis rubra (blacklip abalone). Its description in RNAcentral is "uncharacterized LOC124291195, transcript variant X2". Lineage: Eukaryota; Metazoa; Mollusca; Gastropoda; Lepetellida; Haliotidae. The record is from RNAcentral.